UCAGCCGCCGCGGUAAUACAGAGGGUGCAAGCGUUGCUCGGAUUUACUGGGCGUAAAGCGUACGCAGACGGCUUGGUAGGUCGAAUGUGAAAGCCCCGGGCUCAACCCGGGAAAUGCAUUCGAAACCACCUCGCUCGAGUAUGGGAGAGGGAAGCGGAAUUCCUGGUGUAGAGGUGAAAUUCGUAGAUAUCAGGAGGAACACCGGCGGCGAAGGCGGCUUCCUGGCCCAUUACUGACGUUCAGGUACGAAAGCGUGGGUAGCAAACAGGAUUAGAUACCCUGGUAGUCCACGCCGUAAACGAUGUGUGCUGGAUGUCGGGGGUAUUCACCCCCUCGGUAUCGAAGCCAACGCGAUAAGCACACCGCCUGGGGAGUACGGCCGCAAGGUUGAAACUCAAAGGAAUUGACGGGGGCCCGCACAAGA
RNAcentral lists this ribosomal RNA (424 nucleotides) under uncultured bacterium. RNAcentral describes it as "bacterial SSU rRNA". It matches the Rfam family "Bacterial small subunit ribosomal RNA", at positions 508 to 930 of the family's 1533-position model. The record is from RNAcentral.